This 1252-nucleotide ribosomal RNA is filed under the name uncultured Sebacina. RNAcentral describes it as "eukaryotic LSU rRNA". The stretch from base 577 to 1252 matches the Rfam family "Eukaryotic large subunit ribosomal RNA", at positions 1 to 655 of the family's 3401-position model. Lineage: Eukaryota; Fungi; Basidiomycota; Agaricomycetes; Sebacinales; Sebacinaceae. The record is from RNAcentral.
UUCCGUAGGUGAACCUGCGGAAGGAUCAUUAAUGAAACUUCAAAGUCGGCCAAAGGUUGUUGCUGGUGAUUAUUCACAUGUGCACGCCUUUGGUCGCAAAUCCACACACACCUGUGCAUCUAUGACUCGAGGUUGUAAUGACUGAGAGUAACUUUUAUACACUCUUGUAUGUAAUGGAAUGUCUUUUUGUGCUAUAAUGUACAAUAUAAACAACUUUCAACAACGGAUCUCUUGGCUCUCGCAUCGAUGAAGAACGCAGCGAAAUGCGAUAAGUAAUGUGAAUUGCAGAAUUCAGUGAAUCAUCGAAUCUUUGAACGCACCUUGCACCCUUUGGUAUUCCGAAGGGUACGCCCGUUUGAGUGUCAUUGUAAUCUCACUUCUACAACUUUAUUGUUGUUUGAAUGUGGACUUGGAUGUUGCCGUUUUAUCACGGCUCGUCUUAAAUGCCUGAGUGUACCCUGUUUUGCAGCGUAUCCAGUGUAAUAAACAUUUCACUAGAGUUGGUUGAAAGACCACGUUGACUAUAUGGGCUCUAUGCUUCAAACCGUCUGCCAUGUGGACAAUUUCUUGACAAUUUGACCUCAAAUCGGGUGGGACUACCCGCUGAACUUAAGCAUAUCAAUAAGCGGAGGAAAAGAAACUAACAAGGAUUCCCCUAGUAACGGCGAGUGAAGAGGGAAAAGCUCAAAUUUUAAAUCUGGUGUCUUUGACUCCCGAGUUGUAAUCUAGAGAAGUGUUUUCCGUGUCGGACCGUGUACAAGUUCCCUGGAACGGGGCGUCAUAGAGGGUGAGAAUCCCGUAUAUGCCACGGACUACCGAUGCUCUGUGAUACACUCUCAACGAGUCGAGUUGUUUGGGAAUGCAGCUCAAAAUGGGUGGUAAAUUCCAUCUAAAGCUAAAUAUUGGYGAGAGACCGAUAGCGAACAAGUACCGUGAGGGAAAGAUGAAAAGCACUUUGGAAAGAGAGUGAAACAGUACGUGAAAUUGUUGAAAGGGAAGCGUUUGAAGUCAGUCGCAUCUGUUGGGGUUCAGCCUGGCUUUUGCCUGGUGUAUUUCCUUUCCGAUGGGUCAGCAUCAGUUUCGACCGAGGGAAAAAGACAUUUGGAAUGUGGCUGUCUUCGGGCAGUGUUAUAGCCUUGUGUUGUAUGUCUCGGUUGGGACUGAGGAUUGCAGCGCGCCAUAAAUGGCCGGGGGUCGCUCCUCUCGACACGCGCUUAGGAUGCUGGCAUAAUGGCUUUAAGCGACCCGUCUU